Long non-coding RNA from Pseudopipra pipra, 748 nucleotides. RefSeq lists it as uncharacterized. The transcript is spliced from 2 exons. Lineage: Eukaryota; Metazoa; Chordata; Aves; Passeriformes; Pipridae. The record is from RefSeq and is a predicted model, not a curated record.
GUGGCAGGAAAGAGAGGGGCGUUGCUAGGGGCGCCUCGCUCUCAUUGGCCAGGCUCCGAGGGCGGGUUAAAAAUAAGGCAAUCAGCCAGUAGGAGAGCGCAGAGGGCGGUGACGGACGGGCGGGAGAGCCAAUCGCCGUGUGUUUAUAGCAGGGGCUGAGGCUGUCAGCGGGCCGGGCGUUCGGACCUUUCAGAGCCCUCAGAGCCGCCGCCCGUCCCCCUCCCGCCCCUCACACCCGGCCGGGCAACCCCCGCCCCCCCGUGACCACAGCGGGGCUCCGAGGCGGCAACCCCGCUGUUAUUACCGCUAAUUAACCCCCACUGCAGUUUCCCACAGGGUUCAGCCCUUGUUCUGGUCCUGGUGUCGGUCAUCACAGCGCAUCUCGCCCGGUCCCUCCGGUCCCUGCUUAGUGCAUUCAGAUACUCUGAGGGUUCGGCUGCCAAGCUGAAAUAGUUUUGUUCUUCCUUUCUUCCUUCACUGGGUUACAAAGCUGUGGACAGCUCUUGGAAAGGAAGAUGAGUCAGGACUGAUGAGAAGGAGAAAGAAGAUGAACUCCCAGCCUUGAAGUCAAGUGCACUGCCUGCGUCAUUGUUAUUAAAAAUAGAUGAACGGCAGCACUCUUCACAUUGGAGGAGAGAUGGAGGAGAUGUAAUAGCCCAGGCUGCUGAGCAAAUGCUCCCUCUGUCUGCCUGCAAGUCCCUCAGUGGCAUAUUCUGCUCUUUGAUAAAUUCUCUUUUCUUGGCUCUGA